RNAcentral lists this ribosomal RNA (219 nucleotides) under uncultured Phaeocystis. RNAcentral describes it as "partial Bacterial large subunit ribosomal RNA". It matches the Rfam family "Bacterial large subunit ribosomal RNA", at positions 935 to 1153 of the family's 2925-position model. Lineage: Eukaryota; Haptophyta; Phaeocystales; Phaeocystaceae. The record is from RNAcentral.
CUUACCAAACCGAUGCAAACUCUGAAUACCAGUAAGUUCAAUCACGGGAGACAGACGGCGGGUGCUAACGUCCGUCGUCGAGAGGGCAACAACCCAGACCACCAGCUAAGGUCCCAAAUAUCAGUUCAGUGGGAAACGAUGUGGGAAGGCUUAGACAGCUAGGAGGUUGGCUUAGAAGCAGCCACCCUUUAAAGAAAGCGUAAUAGCUCACUGGUCGAG